GGUGGCUCAGUGGUAGAGUGCUUGCCUUGAAUGCAUGAAGCCCUGGGUUCAAUUCCUAAGCACCA
Molecule: transfer RNA, 65 nt
Filed under: Dipodomys ordii (Ord's kangaroo rat)
Lineage: Eukaryota; Metazoa; Chordata; Mammalia; Rodentia; Heteromyidae
Rfam family: tRNA
About the family: Transfer RNA (tRNA) molecules are approximately 80 nucleotides in length. Their secondary structure includes four short double-helical elements and three loops (D, anti-codon, and T loops).
Source: Rfam by way of RNAcentral